UGCGUUCGCGCGCGUGUGC
RNAcentral lists this unclassified non-coding RNA (19 nucleotides) under Chlamydomonas reinhardtii. RNAcentral's name for it is "small RNA Cre_3149". The record is from RNAcentral. Lineage: Eukaryota; Viridiplantae; Chlorophyta; Chlorophyceae; Chlamydomonadales; Chlamydomonadaceae.